Molecule: ribosomal RNA, 486 nt
Filed under: uncultured bacterium
Lineage: Bacteria
Description: partial 16S ribosomal RNA
Rfam family: Bacterial small subunit ribosomal RNA
Source: RNAcentral
AUUGAACGCUGGCGGCAUGCCUUACACAUGCAAGUCGAACGGCAGCACGGGUGCUUGCACCUGGUGGCGAGUGGCGAACGGGUGAGUAAUAAAUCGGAACAUGUCCUGUAGUGGGGGAUAGCCCGGCGAAAGCCGGAUUAAUACCGCAUACGAUCUACGGAUGAAAGCGGGGGACCUUCGGGCCUCGCGCUAUAGGGUUGGCCGAUGGCUGAUUAGCUAGUUGGUGGGGUAAAGGCCUACCAAGGCGACGAUCAGUAGCUGGUCUGAGAGGACGACCAGCCACACUGGGACUGAGACACGGCCCAGACUCCUACGGGAGGCAGCAGUGGGGAAUUUUGGACAAUGGGCGAAAGCCUGAUCCAGCAAUGCCGCGUGUGUGAAGAAGGCCUUCGGGUUGUAAAGCACUUUUGUCCGGAAAGAAAUCCUUGGCCCUAAUACGGUCGGGGGAUGACGGUACCGGAAGAAUAAGCACCGGCUAACUACGUG